CACAUCAAGGAGGAUGUGCCAAAACACCCUCGCAUAGCUCCAGCUCCAGCACUCCUAAACCGCGCGAUGGAAGCUACGGCACGCCUACCACGCCAUCGCAUGGAAGUCGCAGUGCAACCACACCAGCCACAACACCGCCCACGUCUUCUCAUGCAACAACACCGACCACGCCUUCUCAUUCAACUACACCAUCCACGCCUUCACAUACAACCACACCGGCCACACCUUCCAUCCCCGGUUUCCCAUCGAUCACUGCAACCUGCGAGUAUGCAAUGCACGCACAUCAAACGAAUAUUAAUUCGUAUAUAUAUAUAUAUAUAUAUAAGAAGGACACUAUUUGUUUUUUUAGUGUACGUACACUGCUCAUUAAUCUAUUUACUCUCUCCACUUGUAGCUUCUGGAGAACCCACCCGUCUAUGAUAUUUGGCAUACUCGGACAAUGGUCGAACAUCGGUAACUUGUUUGGAUUUCCGGCGACGAGUAUUUUUGGACGAAAUCCCAGCGUAC
Molecule: long non-coding RNA, 507 nt
Filed under: Zostera marina
Lineage: Eukaryota; Viridiplantae; Streptophyta; Magnoliopsida; Alismatales; Zosteraceae
Description: long non-coding RNA (ZMAR_LNC005531)
Source: RNAcentral